GGGGGCGAACCGGUUUCGACGAGGGCAACGAACCUUUCGGCGCAUGCAGGGGACGUCCGUUCCUCUUCAAAAAACGGGCAACGCAACAAACGCCAACGACAACGUUGAGCUCGCGCUGGCCGCCUAAAACGGCUUAAGCACGCGGGACCCCGGAGCCCAGCCGAUGGCGCCGGCAAGUCCCGCCAAAAAAGUCGGCUGGUCUUCCGUGGCGCUCCGACGGCGGAAGACGAGAUUCAUUCGGAGAUGGUCCGGCGGGCAGGGGGCCCGUGCUCGAUCCGCCGGAUGACGACAAAGCGCGGGACAAGCAUGUAGAGCCAAAAAGGGGAGUGCUUUCGGACGCGGGUUCGAUUCCCGCCGCCUCCACCA
RNAcentral lists this transfer-messenger RNA (366 nucleotides) under Myxococcales (fruiting gliding bacteria). RNAcentral's name for it is "40CM-4-68-19 sp005879505 Standard tmRNA". It matches the Rfam family "transfer-messenger RNA". From Rfam's summary of the family: Bacterial tmRNA, also known as 10Sa RNA or SsrA, is named for its dual tRNA and mRNA-like properties. Its role is to liberate the mRNA from a stalled ribosome. Lineage: Bacteria; Pseudomonadati; Myxococcota; Myxococcia. The record is from RNAcentral. RNAcentral also lists the same sequence under 1 other name.